GACGAACGCUGGCGGCGUGCCUAAUACAUGCAAGUAGAACGCUGAAGGAGGAGCUUGCUUCUCCGGAUGAGUUGCGAACGGGUGAGUAACGCGUAGGUAACCUGCCUGGUAGCGGGGGAUAACUAUUGGAAACGAUAGCUAAUACCGCAUAACAGUAGAUGUUGCAUGACAUUUGCUUAAAAGGUGCAAUUGCAUCACUACCAGAUGGACCUGCGUUGUAUUAGCUAGUUGGUGAGGUAACGGCUCACCAAGGCGACGAUACAUAGCCGACCUGAGAGGGUGAUCGACCACGCUGGGAAGGAGACACGGCCCGGACUCCGACGGGAGGCAGCAGUAGGGAAUCUUCGGCAAUGGACGGAAGUCUGACCGAGCAACGCCGCGUGAGUGAAGAAGGUUUUCAGAUCGUAGAGCUCUGUUGUAAGGGAAGAACGGGUGUGAGAGUAGAAAGUUCACACUGUGACGGUAGCGUACCAGAAAGGGACGGCUAACUACGUG
Molecule: ribosomal RNA, 495 nt
Filed under: uncultured bacterium
Lineage: Bacteria
Description: partial 16S ribosomal RNA
Rfam family: Bacterial small subunit ribosomal RNA
Source: RNAcentral